CGAUGGGUAGCUGGCCUGAGAGGGUGGCCGGCCACACUGGGACUGAGACACGGCCCAGACUCCUACGGGAGGCAGCAG
RNAcentral lists this ribosomal RNA (78 nucleotides) under uncultured bacterium. Its description in RNAcentral is "partial 16S ribosomal RNA". It matches the Rfam family "Bacterial small subunit ribosomal RNA", at positions 277 to 354 of the family's 1533-position model. The record is from RNAcentral.